RNAcentral lists this ribosomal RNA (424 nucleotides) under uncultured Thermoplasmatales archaeon. RNAcentral's name for it is "bacterial SSU rRNA". It matches the Rfam family "Archaeal small subunit ribosomal RNA", at positions 322 to 747 of the family's 1478-position model. The record is from RNAcentral. Lineage: Archaea; Methanobacteriati; Thermoplasmatota; Thermoplasmata; Thermoplasmatales.
CCUACGGGGUGCAGCAGUCGCGAAAACUUCACAAUGGGGGCAACCCCGAUGAGGGAAUUCCUAAUGCUAGCACAUUUGUGUUAGCUUUUCUUUAGCGUAGAUAACUAGAGGAAUAAGGGCUGGGAAAGACGGGUGCCAGCCGCCGCGGUAAUACCUGCAGCCCAAGUGGUGGUCGAGUUUAUUGAGUCUAAAACGUUCGUAGCCGGUUCGGUAAAUCUUUGGGUAAAUCGGAGGGCUUAACCUUCCGACUUCCGAGGAGACUGCCGAACUUGGGACCGGGAGAGGCUAGAGGUACUUCUGGGGUAGGGGUAAAAUCCUGUAAUCCUAGAAGGACCACCGGUGGCGAAGGCGUCUAGCUAGAACGGAUCCGACGGUGAGGGACGAAGCCCUGGGUCGCAAACGGGAUUAGAUACCCAAGUAGUCC